Molecule: non-coding RNA, 70 nt
Organism: Dipodomys ordii (Ord's kangaroo rat)
Lineage: Eukaryota; Metazoa; Chordata; Mammalia; Rodentia; Heteromyidae
Source: Rfam
GGGAAUGUGGCUUAGUGAUAGAGUGCUUGCCUAGCAUGCAUGAAACCCUGGGUUCGAUUCCUCAGUACCA